Long non-coding RNA from Mauremys mutica (yellowpond turtle), 492 nucleotides. RefSeq lists it as uncharacterized. The transcript has 3 exons. Lineage: Eukaryota; Metazoa; Chordata; Testudines; Geoemydidae. The record is from RefSeq and is a predicted model, not a curated record.
GGCCUGCUUCUUUGAACCUAAAUCAUUCUGUCACUCAGCACUGUCUCCCAGUGGCCCCAGCAACAGUAACAGACCCGACUUUAGCUGGACAUCUAGCUAAGGCCUGGUCUACACUAGAAAAUCAGAGGGUUGAGAAAGGCACAGGAAAGACAUGCUGGAAGGGAGAGGCAGACAGGCUAGGAAAGCCAGAACCAAGAAGAAUCUCUGGGUGGAAAGACCUCUUCCUGCUCCUUGCAGAGGAUACAAAUUAUCUAUACGAAGUAUCACCCAUAUGCAGGAGAUGGUGGAAUCUGGAAAAGGGAGCUGCAAGUGCAAGCAACAGGUGGAUGUUUAUUACAUUUCUCCUACUAGAAGAAUGCCAUGAACACUUAAUGAUACCUACCAUAUGCAAAGAUGUUCCAGUUACAAGUCCAUAUGACAAAAUGAAGGCCUCUCUGUUGCUCGUGCUAUAUUUAAAGCACACAGAAACGCAACUUUUUUUUUUUUAUAGUC